This 606-nucleotide ribosomal RNA is filed under the name Triticum aestivum (bread wheat). Its description in RNAcentral is "partial small subunit ribosomal RNA". Lineage: Eukaryota; Viridiplantae; Streptophyta; Magnoliopsida; Poales; Poaceae. The record is from RNAcentral.
AUAAUAGGUCUAUUUUGGAAUUGUAGGGGGGUAGGAAAAAAAGGGAUGAAAACCUGCCUAUCCCAUAUAAUUAGUGACCAUUCCCUUGACUUUCUCUGUUUGCAAGAAACUUUAAAAAAGAAUUUUCUGGAUAGUUACUUUAGGAAGCUUGACCCACAUAAUUUGUUCGAGUGGGAAAGGAUCCCCUCAAUUGGUAAAGCCGGGGGCAUUUUAUGUGGGGUUAGAAAGGAGAACUUUGAUGUAGUUACUUGGAGGAAAGGCAGAUUCAUUCUUCAGGUAUCUCUCUAUGAUAUCAAAAUGAAGAAAAUUUGGACACUCUGUACUGUUUAUGGAGCGGCCCAUGAGUGUGAUAAAAGUGAAUUCCUUAGUGAAUUGGCUGAUUUUUGCUGCCAUAUUCAAACACCAUUAUUGAUCGGAGGUGAUUUCAAUAUACUCAGACAUAGUGGGGAGAAAAAUAAGAGAUGGCGCCGCUCAGCACACUCUGACCUGUUUAAUUCGAUCAUUAAUACUAUGUGUUUGAAUGAGAUUCAUAUGAGUGGGGGGCUUAUACUUGGUCUAAUAACCAAGCUCAUCCUACUUUGGAGAAAUUGGACCGGGUGCUUAUGA